Molecule: ribosomal RNA, 441 nt
Filed under: uncultured bacterium
Lineage: Bacteria
Description: bacterial SSU rRNA
Rfam family: Bacterial small subunit ribosomal RNA
Source: RNAcentral
AGAGUUUGAUCCUGGCUCAGAGCGAACGCUGGCGGCAGGCUUAACACAUGCAAGUCGAGCGGGCGUAGCAAUACGUCAGCGGCAGACGGGUGAGUAACGCGUGGGAACGUACCUUUUGGUUCGGAACAACACAGGGAAACUUGUGCUAAUACCGGAUAAGCCCUUACGGGGAAAGAUUUAUCGCCGAAAGAUCGGCCCGCGUCUGAUUAGCUAGUUGGUGAGGUAACGGCUCACCAAGGCGACGAUCAGUAGCUGGUCUGAGAGGAUGAUCAGCCACAUUGGGACUGAGACACGGCCCAAACUCCUACGGGAGGCAGCAGUGGGGAAUAUUGGACAAUGGGCGCAAGCCUGAUCCAGCCAUGCCGCGUGAGUGAUGAAGGCCCUAGGGUUGUAAAGCUCUUUUGUGCGGGAAGAUAAUGACGGUACCGCAAGAAUAAGCCC